AUUAUCGAGUUUUUGAACGGGUUGUAGCUGGUCUCUCUCGGGACAUGUGCACGCCUGGCUCAAUCCACUCUUCAAACCAUUGUGCACUUAUUGUAGGUCGGUUGAAAGGCUUCUUGGGCUCAGUAAAAUGAAUUCAAGAUGCUGGAAGGCCUUCCUAUGUUUUUAUUACAAACGCUUCAGUCAUAGAAUGUCAUUUACUUGCGUAUAACGCAUCUAUAUACAACUUUCAGCAACGGAUCUCUUGGCUCUCGCAUCGAUGAAGAACGCAGCGAAAUGCGAUAAGUAAUGUGAAUUGCAGAAUUCAGUGAAUCAUCGAAUCUUUGAACGCACCUUGCGCUCCCUGGUAUUCCGGGGAGCAUGCCUGUUUGAGUAUCAUGGAAUUCUCAACCUUCAAUACUUUUUUGUAUUCGAAGGCUUGGACUUGGAGGCUUGUGCUGGCUGCUCGUUCAGUCGGCUCCUCUGAAAUGAAUUAGCGUGAAUCACUACGGAUCGCUUCAGUGUGAUAAUUAUCUGCGCUGUAGUCGUGAAGUAUUAAUAAGUUCGCGCUUCUAAUCGUCCUUUCAUUAGGAUAAUUAACUAUGAACUUUUGAUCUCAAAUCAGGUAGGACUACCCGCUGAACUUAAGCAUAUCAAUAAGCGGAGGAAAAGAAACUAACAAGGAUUCCCCUAGUAACUGCGAGUGAAGCGGGAAAAGCUCAAAUUUAAAAUCUGGUAGUCUUUGGCUGCCCGAGUUGUAAUCUGGAGAAGUGUUUUCCGCGUUGGACCGUGUACAAGUCUCUUGGAACAGAGCGUCAUAGAGGGUGAGAAUCCCGUCUUUGACACGGACUACCAAUGCUUUGUGAUACACUCUCAAAGAGUCGAGUUGUUUGGGAAUGCA
Molecule: ribosomal RNA, 877 nt
Filed under: Phlebiopsis sp. 1 RG-2014
Lineage: Eukaryota; Fungi; Basidiomycota; Agaricomycetes; Polyporales; Phanerochaetaceae
Description: eukaryotic LSU rRNA
Rfam family: Eukaryotic large subunit ribosomal RNA (bases 588-877)
Source: RNAcentral